GGCUCCGUAGUGUAGUGGUUAUCACGCCUGCUUUACAUGCAGAAGGUCCUGGGUUCAAGCCCCAGUGGAACCA
Mesocricetus auratus (golden hamster) is the source of this 73-nucleotide non-coding RNA. NCBI's taxonomy places the organism in Eukaryota, Metazoa, Chordata, Mammalia, Rodentia, Cricetidae. The record is from Rfam.